GUCUACAGCUAUAUCAUUCUGAACAAGCCCAAUCUUGUCUGAUCUUGGAAGCUAAGCAGAGUCGGGCCUGGUUAGUACUUGGAUGGGAGACUGCCUCGGAAGACCAGGUGCUAUAGGCA
RNAcentral lists this ribosomal RNA (119 nucleotides) under Pteropus alecto (black flying fox). Lineage: Eukaryota; Metazoa; Chordata; Mammalia; Chiroptera; Pteropodidae. The record is from RNAcentral.